CAAAUCAUGGUUUCAAGACAAACCUAAGUACAGAAAUGAAGAAGAAAUGAAAAUCUAAGCUAAGGGAAAGAAAAACUAAGUGAAAAUGGUGAAGAAUCUACUGCUAGAACAUUGGAGAAGACGUCCUUUUAGCUGCUGCAACAAUGAUCCAAGAUGUUUCUCUCUCUUCUUUUCUCUCUAGUAAGAAUCCUUUUAUUUCCCCCUUCAGCUAAGAAAAGAAAAAGAUGAUUUUAUAUCCUUUAGCGGUUUGCCUUAAAAUGGGUUAAGAUGAUAGUAGAUUCUGGAGAAAAAAUAAUAUAUUAGGUCAGAGGAAAAGGAUUGCCAAGUCAGCAUUUUUCAUUAAAAUGACACAAGCUGAAUCAAGUUGUGUUGCGCUUGUGUUGCAGUUGUAUAACUUUCUAUCCAAUUUUGGAAUUUGUUAGGUGCAUCAACACUGGCUAAAUGAGUUGUGUCUAAGCUUGUGUAACUUUCUGCCUGAGAUUUUUAUCUGCGACACAACCUAUGACAUAAUUUACACAAGCUGUGUCAUAGGUUGUGCAACUUUCUAUUUUUUUAAAACUCAACUUCAAAUUAUUCUCUUUAAAAUUUUGCAAUUCAUCUUUGAUUUCUUCCAAAUGGUUGCUCUGAUCUAAAUAUCAUCAAAAUUCUCCAAAUUUUAACCUUCUAGUCACCUGUCCAAUGUUGCUAUACCUCCUAUAUUGCCUUGCCCUUAUCUGAACCUACGGACAUUCACAAGAACAAUCCGCUAAGCAAUAAUGCCUAGUGGUGUAUUUAAUCUUGUGUUGUGUGUGUGGUAAUAUGCAUAGAAUGUAUAUAAUAUGGCAUGCUAUAAUGUAUACAUAUAAAAUGAGCAAAUACCAAUAUAAAGGCAUUUAUAAUUUAUUAAGAUAUAAUCAUUAUAACAUAUAUAAUUAUUAUGAGUCAUACUAAUCAUAAUUCACAUGGUAAUUGCAAGUCACAUACAUGACCACCAUUAUAGUAAGAAUUUGUGUGUACGAUUCUCAAUGCCAUUUGUAUGCACCUUCAUGCUCAUUUAUAACAUCCUGACAUCCCAAUCUUCAUAUUAUUCCCACACACAUAUCAUAUUAUCAUGUAACACAACCAUGCACACAAAUCAACACCUUAGGCAUCAUGCCACAUUGAUUUCUAUAUAAUUUAUUAUCACAAUGCCCAUGUCAUUUAUAAUGGUGGUGACAAGUAACACGUCAUGGCUUUUAGCCAAGAAUUUCCUCCCCUUGACUCCCAUCAUGGCUCCUUACCAAGUGCACAUCAUGGCUAUAUGCCAAGCUAUAAUCACGUCACGGCUACAUGCCAACUAAAUCAACGUCAUGGACAUAGGCUAAGUAAAUCCACAUCAUGGUAAUUUAAGCAACGUAUGCGCAUAUAUAAAUGAAUGACUAGUCAUUACAAGGGGGUAUUAAACACAUCAUGUUACCAUUGAUUAUCGUUAACAUGGGCUUAAUUUGGUGUUUCUAGCAAUAAAUAUCACAUUUGUGGCUAUUCAUAUCAUUUACAACUCAUUUAACAUAAUAAUGGCACAUGCAAUGCAAUAAUCAACACGCAGCAUAAAUUUUUGGAAAAUAACAGCAUAACAGUCAUCUUGUAAAAUAUGCCAUUAAUCCUACAGUAGUCCAAUCAUCAUUAAACUUUACAGAAACAUAGAAUUAUGAGUCUAUUUAAUUCUCCAACUUGUUUCACCUCAAUCUGAGUUACAGAACUCUAGUUAUGAAUUUUUUAAAAGCUGCUAUGCACAGCACAGGACCUAUAUUAAGCACUAAAAUGUUUUGCUCUCUUUCAGUAUGCUACCAUCCGAAUUAGCCUUUGACCCAAACUACAAAGUUGUAGGGCUCUCUCAUAACUUGAAUUUAGGCAUAAGAUUCAAUUAAAAAUCUUUCUUAUAGCCUGAAUUAUGAUUAGAAAUUUGCUAUAACAAAACAAAGUGUAAAUUCCAGCAGCAGUAUAAAUCAGAACAGUAAUUUUGCAUAAGCAAUAUGUAAUUUGAUUUGAUAGAAUCAGUUCUUCCACAAAACAUGAAACUUUUAGCUCUUUGAUUGAAUUUCAUUUUAUACAUAAGAUUUGCAUGAGAACCAUUUAAAUUGACUGAGAUAUGCCCUCUCAAAGUGGACUGUUCCAGUAGUACUAUAAUCAAACUUAAAUCAAACAGCAUAUAGGCAAUCAAUAUUCACAAUACCACCCAUACAAUUUACAUCAAAUCAAAUGCCAAAGCCCAAGGGUAAUACACUAAUCUAUUGAACUUGAUUUCCAGCAAAUUAAAAUGCACAAUUUGCCUCCAAAGAUUCAAGAUCAAUCGGCCAACACCAAAAACCCCCAAUUUGAUAACCUAACAAAAAUCAAUUGAAUCUCCCUUUAAUUUCUCCCAAUUCAAUUUGGCCAAUUAGGAUUUAGGGCUUCCCUUGCACCAAUCUCAAUUCAAUUCAACACUUCAAAAUUCUCUCUUCAACACGUUUUCUUCAAAUUUUUUCAAUGCCAAGAAUCGAUUAAAUCAAUGAUUGGGGAAGAGGAAAUUCGGCUAUGGAGGGUGUAAGGGUUUGGUGUGCUCUUCCUUUGUUUGAUUGAAGAGAAAUUUUGAUAUGUUGGGAAUGUAGGUGUCGGCUAGGGUAGAGUUUGUGGCUGAAGUGUUUAG
RNAcentral lists this unclassified non-coding RNA (2644 nucleotides) under Hevea brasiliensis (rubber tree). The record is from RNAcentral. Lineage: Eukaryota; Viridiplantae; Streptophyta; Magnoliopsida; Malpighiales; Euphorbiaceae.